GCGAAAAUCAUAUAAAAACAAACCUAGGAGACCUGAAAUUGAUGAAUUGAAAACCAGAAGGAUACAAUUGAUCAAACAUCAAGGAGAGGAUUUUAUUGGUACGUUAUUUCAAUGGUACACACAGACAAACAUUUAACUUAAAAGGGUUUCAUUACUUUGCCACCAAUUAAAGUGCAAGAAAAGGACAUUUUUUUACAAUCGCGAGAUUCGCGCGCAAAGUUUCAUCGGCUUCAACCAUCAACGCUCGAACAGGAUCACCGGAUGUAGUAGUGCGAGUUGCAUCUCAGCACCGUGCGCGCGACCACCNNN
RNAcentral lists this long non-coding RNA (309 nucleotides) under Oryza brachyantha (malo sina). Its description in RNAcentral is "long non-coding RNA (OBRA_LNC002495)". The record is from RNAcentral. Lineage: Eukaryota; Viridiplantae; Streptophyta; Magnoliopsida; Poales; Poaceae.